Molecule: ribosomal RNA, 492 nt
Filed under: uncultured bacterium
Lineage: Bacteria
Description: bacterial SSU rRNA
Rfam family: Bacterial small subunit ribosomal RNA
Source: RNAcentral
GAUGAACGCUAGCUACAGGCUUAACACAUGCAAGUCGAGGGGAAACGACAUCGAAAGCUUGCUUUUGAUGGGCGUCGACCGGCGCACGGGUGAGUAACGCGUAUCCAACCUGCCCACCACUUGGGGAUAACCUUGCGAAAGUAAGACUAAUACCCAAUGAUAUCCCACGAAGGCAUCCGAAUGGGAUUAAAGAUUUAUCGGUGAUGGAUGGGGAUGCGUCUGAUUAGUUUGUUGGCGGGGUAACGGCCCACCAAGGCGACGAUCAGUAGGGGUUCUGAGAGGAAGGUCCCCCACAUUGGAACUGAGACACGGUCCAAACUCCUACGGGAGGCAGCAGUGAGGAAUAUUGGUCAAUGGGCGAGAGCCUGAACCAGCCAAGUAGCGUGCAGGAUGACGGCCCUAUGGGUUGUAAACCGCUUUUUCAGGGGGAUAAAGUGAGUGACGUGUCAUUCAUUGCAGGUACCCUGCGAAUAAGGACCGGCUAAUUCCGUG